GGAAGUGGGGUUGUAGUAGUAAACUUAUUCUCAGAGAAAGGUAGUAUACUAUUUAUUUCGUUUAUUUUUUUAAAAAAUAAAUUUAACUAGAAAUAUUAAAAUAAUUAUAUUUGAAAUUUGAAACUUCCGACGGCUAAGCACUAGGGACGGGUCCAUAUGUGGUGUUUAAUUAUUAAAAUAAAAUUUAUUUUAUUCAAAUAUUAGUUGUUAAAUAUUUUUUUAUAUUAAUUAUAUUAGUAUAAAAUAAAAAUAUAUAAAAUUUAUGAGAAUUAUGAAUCAUUUUGAAAUGACUAUUCAAUCUUUCGAC
This 307-nucleotide long non-coding RNA is filed under the name Ananas comosus (pineapple). RNAcentral describes it as "long non-coding RNA (ACOM_LNC043113)". The record is from RNAcentral. Lineage: Eukaryota; Viridiplantae; Streptophyta; Magnoliopsida; Poales; Bromeliaceae.